GCGGACGGGUGAGUAACGCGUGAGAAUCUACCUUCUGGAGGGGGACAACAGUUGGAAACGACUGCUAAUACCCCAUAAGCCGUGAGGUGAAAUGUUUUUUCGCCAGAAGAUGAGCUCGCGUCCGAUUAGCUAGUUGGAGGUGUAAGAGACCCCCAAGGCGACGAUCGGUAGCUGGUCUGAGAGGAUGAGCAGCCACACUGGGACUGAGACACGGCCCAGACUCCUACGGGAGGCAGCAGUGGGGAAUUUUCCGCAAUGGGCGAAAGCCUGACGGAGCAACGCCGCGUGAGGGAAGAAGGUCUUUGGAUUGUAAACCUCUUUUCUCAGGGAAGAAGCCCUGACGGUACCUGAGGAAUCAGCCUCGGCUAACUCCGUGCCAGCAGCCGCGGUAAUGCGGAGGAGGCAAGCGUUAUCCGGAAUCAUUGGGCGUAAAGCGUUCGUAGGCGGCUGUCUAAGUCUGCUGUUAAAGACUAGGGCUUAACCCUGGAAAAGCAGUGGAAACUGGAGAGCUAGAGGACGGUAGGGGUAGAGGGAAUUCCCAGUGUAGCGGUGAAAUGCGUAGAUAUUGGGAAGAACACCGGUGGCGAAAGCGCUCUACUGGGCCGUACCUGACGCUGAGGGACGAAAGCUAGGGGAGCGAAUGGGAUUAGAUACCCCUGUAGUC
RNAcentral lists this ribosomal RNA (664 nucleotides) under uncultured cyanobacterium. RNAcentral describes it as "bacterial SSU rRNA". It matches the Rfam family "Bacterial small subunit ribosomal RNA", at positions 98 to 795 of the family's 1533-position model. The record is from RNAcentral. Lineage: Bacteria; Bacillati; Cyanobacteriota.